RNAcentral lists this transfer RNA (70 nucleotides) under Cuniculus paca (Lowland paca). RNAcentral describes it as "tRNA-Ala". It matches the Rfam family "tRNA". Rfam says of the family: Transfer RNA (tRNA) molecules are approximately 80 nucleotides in length. Their secondary structure includes four short double-helical elements and three loops (D, anti-codon, and T loops). Further hydrogen bonds mediate the characteristic L-shaped molecular structure. tRNAs have two regions of fundamental functional importance: the anti-codon, which is responsible for specific mRNA codon recognition, and the 3' end, to which the tRNAs corresponding amino acid is attached (by aminoacyl-tRNA synthetases). tRNAs cope with the degeneracy of the genetic code in two manners: having more than one tRNA (with a specific anti-codon) for a particular amino acid; and 'wobble' base-pairing, i.e. permitting non-standard base-pairing at the 3rd anti-codon position. The record is from RNAcentral. Lineage: Eukaryota; Metazoa; Chordata; Mammalia; Rodentia; Cuniculidae.
AAAGGUUUAGCUUAAUUAAAGUGUCUGGUUUGCAUUCAGUCGAUGUGAGGUAAUAGUCUUACAGCCUUUA